GGUGAACGAGAGAGACCGGAUAAUUCCAGGACGCUCUUUCUACGUAAAAAAGCGUAUCGAACAAGAGGCCGUCAAUCAAAUUGAGCUGGCAUGGAAUCAUUUUACUUGCAGAUUCGGAUUCCUGAGAUCAAAAUACAUGAGGAUAGCGUGGGGAACCCUUCCAAAAAAAAUCUGGAUCUUCAUCUCAGAUUUUGAGAAAAUUCCAAGGCUAUAGGCUUACUGUUUUUUUCGGCAAAAAAGUGAAGCAUUUGCCAGAAUAAUUUCGGGACGCUUUUUCUAUGUAAAAAAGCGUAUCGAACGAGAAGCCGUCAAUGAAAUUGAGCUGGCGUAAGAUUCCAUCGAGGUAUCUUUGAAUUUUCACUUUUUCGAUCGAUUAUUCGGCGAUAACUCGAUCAAUUUCAUAGAUGGAAUUAUUUUGCUUGCAG
This 425-nucleotide unclassified non-coding RNA is filed under the name Athalia rosae (coleseed sawfly). RNAcentral's name for it is "misc RNA ENSAEAG00005008425.1". The record is from RNAcentral. Lineage: Eukaryota; Metazoa; Arthropoda; Insecta; Hymenoptera; Athaliidae.